GAUGAAGAACGUAGCGAAAUGCGAUAAGUAAUGUGAAUUGCAGAAUUCAGUGAAUCAUCGAAUCUUUGAACGCACAUUGCGCCCGCCAGUAUUCUGGCGGGCAUGCCUGUUCGAGCGUCAUUUCAACCCUCAAGACCCCUUCGGGGGACUUGGUGUUGGGGACCGGCACAGGGGCCUGCCUGCUUGUCUUGCAGCGCCCUCGCCGCCCCCGAAAUGAAUUGGCGGCCUUGUCGCGGCCUCCCCUGCGUAGUAGCACAACCUCGCAACGGGAACGUGACGGCGGCCACUGCCGUAAAACAACCCCAAUUUUAUUAGAGUUGACCUCGAAUCAGGUAGGAAUACCCGCUGAACUUAAGCAUAUCAAUAAGCGGAGGA
Molecule: unclassified non-coding RNA, 375 nt
Filed under: soil metagenome
Description: partial contains 5.8S ribosomal RNA, internal transcribed spacer 2, and large subunit ribosomal RNA
Rfam family: 5.8S ribosomal RNA (bases 1-120)
Source: RNAcentral